CUCACAACGUCUAUCUUCUUUUAUUUUCACAAGACAUAUAUGUCUUCCUUUGAAUCUGCACCUUUAGCACUCGAGAGUCCUCUUUGAUAUUGGCCUGGUUCACUCAGAUCUUCUCGAACCACACGCUCACAACUCUCUUAGUUAUCUGAUUGAGCCGCGUCAAUAUCUCAGUGCUCUCUCGUCUCUCUUUGUUUCUUGUAGGAUCUACCUAUAGCUAUAUGUGGAGAUUCAUAGAUCCUUUGUUGAUGGUUUACUUGCUUAUAAUUUCCAGAUUCUUAAAAAAAAACAAGUCAAUUUACUAGUCAAAAUGGUAUGUCUCAAUGGAGGUCUAACCCUUUCUUGCUAUCCAAGAUGUCACAAUCACAACAGGUGUAGAAGAAACAAGGGCAAAUUUAGAAGUGGAUAUCAUGGGGUUUUAAUGGGAGAGAAUCUGACGAGCACGAACCCUAACCUGCAAGCGAGCAAGAGCAUGCAUACAAUGUAAUGCUAUUCGAGCUUGUCUCCUCACAAGCACUCCUCUCGCCACCGCCUGAAGCUUCACAAGACUCCUCAACGCUCUAAACGCUCUCCUUCCCUACAACACUUGCAAUGGUGACCUCUUAAAUAAGCUUGGAUUUUAAUGGCGGCAAUGUGUUCUUUAGUGGUUUCUGGGAUAGACGAGCAAAUGGUGGUGAUACUGCUGGGAGAUCGACUGAGAAGUUUCCUCCUUACGACUCCAAACAAUCUUUUGGAGUUGGCCAUAAUUAAUCUCUCUGCUUUGGUUAGGAGGUUUUAAACGGAAACGUGAAGAAGGA
Molecule: long non-coding RNA, 794 nt
Organism: Brassica oleracea var. oleracea
Lineage: Eukaryota; Viridiplantae; Streptophyta; Magnoliopsida; Brassicales; Brassicaceae
Exons: 3
Source: RefSeq, a predicted model, not a curated record